RNAcentral lists this long non-coding RNA (707 nucleotides) under Homo sapiens (human). Its description in RNAcentral is "HSALNT0400248". Lineage: Eukaryota; Metazoa; Chordata; Mammalia; Primates; Hominidae. The record is from RNAcentral.
AGUCUGGGCGGAGGAGGGCACCAGCAGGAGAGAGGUCCUACAACUCGGAGUUCGGAGUUCGGCAGAAAGGCCUCCCCGGGAGGGGCUGGGAGCUCCCCAAGCAAGGGCAGGCACUUCCCCUCCCUUUGGCCACUUGGCCCUGGAGGGCUUCUUUGGAGAUAAAUCCCACAGAAGGGGAGGGGAAAUUAUGUAACUCAGGGAAAAACGCUAUGUGGAGUCCCAUGUACUCACAAUCUCUCUGGAGGAAACCAGGCUUCACCGUCGCCAGGUGACAACGAAAUGCCCUAACCCCGGGCUGCCAGCAGCACAGGGCCAUGGAAUCCAGGGAGAAACAAGCUCUGAGCUGAGGGGUGUGUAAAAUGGAGGUUCUGAUUCGGUAGCUCCGGGGCGGGCCUGAGCUCUGCAUUUCUGAUGCUCCCAGGGAUGCUGAUGUUGCUGGUCUGGGGACCGCUCUGAGGUCAGGGCUGUGGAGGGCAGGCACCAGGCUGAGCAGCGGCACUGCUGGUGCUGAGUCAGCUCUUCCCUCAGCCCCUGAGGUCUGGAGUGCUUCCCGUUGGGAGAUUUACUAGUUUUCUUGCUUGGCUACCCGGCAUUAACAGGCAUUGGAACCGUGGGAAGCGAGUCUCCUGCCCAUCUCUGUUCAUCCCGGACAGUUGCAAUUGUGGAGGGACCCUCCAAUGACAUUGGACACUGGAGGCCCAGAGAAG